GAUGAACGCUGGCGGCGUGCUUAACACAUGCAAGUCGAACGGUGAAGCAGGAGCUUGCUCUUGUGGAUCAGUGGCGAACGGGUGAGUAACACGUGAGCAACCUGCCCCGGACUCUGGGAUAAGCGCUGGAAACGGCGUCUAAUACUGGAUAUGUGAUGUGACCGCAUGGUCCGCCUCUGGAAAGAAUUUCGGUUGGGGAUGGGCUCGCCGCCUAUCAGCUUGUUGGUGAGGGAAUGGCUCACCAAGGCGUCGACGGGUAGCCGGCCUGAGAGGGUGACCGGCCACACUGGGACUGAGACACGGCCCAGACUCCUACGGGAGGCAGCAGUGGGUAAUAUUGCACAAUGGGCGGAAGCCUGAUGCAGCAACGCCGCGUGAGGGAUGACGGCCUUCGGGUUGUAAACCUCUUUUAGCAGGGAAGAAGCGAAAGUGACGGUACCCGCAGAAAAAGCACCGGCUAACUACGUGCCAGCCGCCGCCGUAA
Molecule: ribosomal RNA, 484 nt
Filed under: uncultured bacterium
Lineage: Bacteria
Description: partial 16S ribosomal RNA
Rfam family: Bacterial small subunit ribosomal RNA
Source: RNAcentral